Molecule: ribosomal RNA, 439 nt
Filed under: uncultured Burkholderia sp.
Lineage: Bacteria; Pseudomonadati; Pseudomonadota; Betaproteobacteria; Burkholderiales; Burkholderiaceae
Description: bacterial SSU rRNA
Rfam family: Bacterial small subunit ribosomal RNA
Source: RNAcentral
AUGGGGGCAACCCUGAUCCAGCAAUGCCGCGUGUGUGAAGAAGGCCUUCGGGUUGUAAAGCACUUUUGUCCGGAAAGAAAGCUCCCACCAUAAUAUGAUGGGGGUAUGACGGUACCGGAAGAAUAAGCACCGGCUAACUACGUGCCAGCAGCCGCGGUAAUACGUAGGGUGCGAGCGUUAAUCGGAAUUACUGGGCGUAAAGAGUGUGUAGGCGGUGAUGUAAGAGCGAUGCGAAAUCCCUGGGCUUAACCUAGGAACUGCAUUGGUGACUGCAUUGCUAGAGUAUGGCAGAGGGGGGUGGAAUUCCACGUGUAGCAGUGAAAUGCGUAGAGAUGUGGAGGAACAUCGAUGGCGAAGGCAGCCCCCUGGGCUAAUACUGACGCUCAUGCACGAAAGCGUGGGGAGCAAACAGGAUUAGAUACCCUGGUAGUCCACUCCU